This 244-nucleotide long non-coding RNA is filed under the name Capsicum annuum. RNAcentral describes it as "long non-coding RNA (CANN_LNC017517)". The record is from RNAcentral. Lineage: Eukaryota; Viridiplantae; Streptophyta; Magnoliopsida; Solanales; Solanaceae.
CCUGAGUAGUACUAGAGAGUUUUUAGACUUCUAAGUUGUAGAUGAAGAUUUUGGAAAAUUGUUUUCAUGUCAAGAAGAGCUUCUUUUCUCAUAUCACUAAGUAGAUGAAUCAGUCGACAAGAAUAGAUUAAUAACUAUACUCAAAUUUGUGAUCAACUGAAAGCAUAGAAACAAUUAUCAAAAUCUCAUUUAAACUUUACAUUUGAAGUUUUUUUUUUAUUUUGGGAUUUAAAUAUUAUCUUCA